RNAcentral lists this ribosomal RNA (1810 nucleotides) under Staphylococcus pseudintermedius. RNAcentral's name for it is "partial 23S ribosomal RNA". It matches the Rfam family "Bacterial large subunit ribosomal RNA", at positions 407 to 2222 of the family's 2925-position model. Lineage: Bacteria; Bacillati; Bacillota; Bacilli; Caryophanales; Staphylococcaceae. The record is from RNAcentral.
CCUGAGUACGACGGAGCACGUGAAAUUCCGUCGGAAUCUGGGAGGACCAUCUCCUAAGGCUAAAUACUCUCUAGUGACCGAUAGUGAACCAGUACCGUGAGGGAAAGGUGAAAAGUACCCCGGAAGGGGAGUGAAAGAGAACUUGAAACCGUGUGCUUACAAGUAGUCAGAGCCCGUUAAUGGGUGAUGGCGUGCCUUUUGUAGAAUGAACCGGCGAGUUACGAUCUGAUGCAAGGUUAAGCAGAAAAUGUGGAGCCGUAGCGAAAGCGAGUCUGAAUAGGGCGAAUGAGUAUUUGGUCGUAGACCCGAAACCAGGUGAUCUACCCUUGGUCAGGUUGAAGUUCAGGUAACACUGAAUGGAGGACCGAACCGACUUACGUUGAAAAGUGAGCGGAUGAACUGAGGGUAGCGGAGAAAUUCCAAUCGAACUUGGAGAUAGCUGGUUCUCUCCGAAAUAGCUUUAGGGCUAGCCUCAAGUGAUGAUUAUUGGAGGUAGAGCACUGUUUGGACGAGGGGCCCCUCUCGGGUUACCGAAUUCAGACAAACUCCGAAUGCCAAAUAAUUUAACUUGGGAGUCAGAAUGUGGGUGAUAAGGUCCAUAUUCGAAAGGGAAACAGCCCAGACCACCAGCUAAGGUCCCAAAAUAUAUGUUAAGUGGAAAAGGAUGUGGCGUUGCCCAGACAACUAGGAUGUUGGCUUAGAAGCAGCCAUCAUUUAAAGAGUGCGUAAUAGCUCACUAGUCGAGUGACACUGCGCCGAAAAUGUACCGGGGCUAAACAUAUUACCGAAGCUGUGGAUUGUCCUUUGGACAAUGGUAGGAGAGCGUUCUAAGGGCGUUGAAGCAUGAUCGCAAGGACAUGUGGAGCGCUUAGAAGUGAGAAUGCCGGUGUGAGUAGCGAAAGACGGGUGAGAAUCCCGUCCACCGAUUGACUAAGGUUUCCAGAGGAAGGCUCGUCCGCUCUGGGUUAGUCGGGUCCUAAGCUGAGGCCGACAGGCGUAGGCGAUGGAUAACAGGUUGAUAUUCCUGUACCACCAUUAUUCGUUUUAAGCGAUGGGGGGACGCAGUAGGAUAGGCGAAGCGUGCUGUUGGAGUGCACGUCCAAGCAGUGAGAUUGAGUGUUAGGCAAAUCCGGCACUCUUAAGAUUGAGCUGUGAUGGGGAGAGGAACUUGUUCCUCGAGUCGUUGAUUUCACACUGCCGAGAAAAGCCUCUAGCUAGAAUAACGGUGCCCGUACCGCAAACCGACACAGGUAGUCAAGAUGAGAAUUCUAAGGUGAGCGAGCGAACUCUCGUUAAGGAACUCGGCAAAAUGACCCCGUAACUUCGGGAGAAGGGGUGCUCUUUGAGGUUCACGCUUCGAAGAGCCGCAGUGAAUAGGCCCAAGCGACUGUUUAUCAAAAACACAGGUCUCUGCUAAACCGUAAGGUGACGUAUAGGGGCUGACGCCUGCCCGGUGCUGGAAGGUUAAGAGGAGUGGUUAGCGCAAGCGAAGCUACGAAUCGAAGCCCCAGUAAACGGCGGCCGUAACUAUAACGGUCCUAAGGUAGCGAAAUUCCUUGUCGGGUAAGUUCCGACCCGCACGAAAGGCGUAACGAUUUGGGCACUGUCUCAACGAGAGACUCGGUGAAAUCAUAGUACCGGUGAAGAUGCCGGUUACCCGCGACAGGACGGAAAGACCCCGUGGAGCUUUACUGUAGCCUGAUAUUGAAAUUCGGUACAGUUUGUACAGGAUAGGUAGGAGCCUUAGAAGCGUGAGCGCUAGCUUACGUGGAGGCAUUGGUGGGAUACUACCCUAAUUGUAUUGGAUUUC